UCUAGGAUUCAUCUGAAGCUCCCCCGAAUUCUUGAAUGGAUUUUGCCUGAGAAUCCUCUCAAGGCUGCGGUUAUCCCUUUUGCUGGUGCACCUUCUCCUACCACACUUUUUCCUUCCACUCAACUUUCUAUGAAUAUGCUUGGAUACAGCACUCUGUGAACAACCAGCUUCUUUAGCAAUGACCUUUCAUGGCUUCCCCUCCUUGUGGAGGGUGUCAGUGACUGUCUUCUGGACAACUGUCAGGUCAGCAGUCGUCCCCAUGAUUGUGUAGCCUACUGACCCAGACUGAGUGACCAUUUAAAAGCUCAGGAAACCUUUGCAGGUGUUUUGAGGGUGUUUCAAUAAAAACCUGUCCAAGGAGGUUUGUUUCUUCCUCCCUUUCAAAAUGUUUGGAAAAUGAGUGAUGAAGUGUGGUUACACAGCGCCAAGGCACGACCUGGAGAGAUCACCACGUGAACUGACCGCUCGCUGGGUGACCGAGUGGUGGGUGGAGUAAGCUCACACGCUCGUAACUCAGAUCUCGGCUCGUACCUUAGAGCAAAAAAUCGACCGAGCGACGGCUCUUAAGUUGAUUCACUCCACCUGUUGGUAUAACUUGGUAUAACACCUGUUGGUUAAUCAGGCACCUGACUCUGAUCCUACAAAAUCCCUGAAUUUGUGAAAGUGGACCAAGUGUAAGAAUUGAUGCUGUAUGGCCAAUGAAUUCAAUAAGUACUACUGGAAAAGAACCGAGUGGAACCGCCAUCACUUGACUGCUGCUGAAUUUGCAGAUUGGGUCGAUCUGCUCCAAGCUCCUUGAUUCUUUUCGUUUCUUCACCUGAACUUCUUGUGAAAGGAUUGCCUCACGUUUAGAUGUAACCUGGUUCGAUGGGAAUGAGAGGGUGUUUUAGGAAGUUGACACUAUGGGAAUGCUUCUGCGUGAGCUGGAGUCUGAAACAUGCAUGGAAACACGCAAAUUUUAUUGGCCAACGUGGGGGUCAGGUGAUGUCACACGUCUUGUUGACUUCUACGUUAACUGGGUUACGUACCUAACCUGAGACAUUCCCUUUCAAAGGAUCUCGACGAUACAUCGUGCAUUUGACGCUAUGGGAACGUUAAUUCCCACAUCACCAUACUGACAGGAUGCCUACUCACAAGGUGCGAAGUAAGAAUACAUGCACAACCUGAGAAAAAGAUAACCCUUAAGAACCUGGGGUGUGCUGUAGGACUCGAGAAACUGGGGUUAAGCCCAUAUCCAACCUAUAGAACCUUGUGAGUGUGUGAGAAGAGGACCAGCCUGCCACAGCACAAAUAUCUUGCAAAGGCACCAUCAUCAUCAUCAUCAUCAUCACCAUCGAUAAACAUCCUCCAUCCUACUUCACCCUAUUUUUAAAUGCUGUACCUUUUAUUGAAAUAAUCAGGGAUGUGAUUUGUCCAGUGUUUUAGUACGCUUAAUUUCAUACAUAUUUUAAGUCAUCACAAUGGUGAGAAAAACAGAAAGAAUGUUCAACACAAAAGUAAAACACAAAAGUUUGUCUAAAUAGAGGCGUGAACAAGAUCAGGGAUAGCAGUGGAUCGAUCCUGUCAGUUCUAAUCAGUAUGGUUGAGUAUUUGAUUUAACGCAGCAUGCAGCAGGUGUUAGUCAUGUCUGAAGGGGGAAAGACUAGUAGACAGAGUGGAAUCACUCAGUGCUUCUUCCCUCAGACUUCUCCAGAGGUGACCAUGGUAUGUUCACAAAUAUCUUGCAGCACAAACAUCUUGCAAAUGUCCAUGGUAAAAAAGCACUAUACAAAUAAAUUGAAUUGAAUUUCAAAGGCACACCCUUGUAUAGUGUCUUGCAGCAAGCCAUGCUCCUGGUGGCCUGAGAGGCCAGGGAAAACACAUCAGCUACACAAUGCGAUAAAUGCUGCUUGGUGGCGGAGAAUAUCUGGUGCGCCCCCAAAGGCAGACCAACAGCUGAUCAGUUCUACGCCACAGGGUUGAGUAAUUGACAUAGAUCCUUGAGGGCCCUGACCUGACACAAAAGAUAAAGCUUCUCUUGUUCCGGCAUGUCAAAUAGCUGAGGGGAGAAGGUCAAGAAAUGUCCAUUAUUACAUAUUCUGGCCUCAGGUGCAAUAUAACCUUGACCAGUCCAAGGACAAAGUCUAGUGCUUGGCAUGUAACCCUUAUUUCUUCAUAGGGUUAAAAAGUGGUUGAAACCCUGUGCCCCUGAGCCAACACUAAAAUGGUCUCAUGUGCAUCAGCCCCAAGGGAUACACAUUGGUGGUGGCUGUUUCUGAUUCAACCUGUUUCUGAGCCUCCCUCCCUUUCUCAUUCUCCUUCACCCUCAGCACUCAAGCACCCCAGGGUUGUGUUCUGAGCCACCAGCUGUACUCACUAUACACAUUUGACUGUGUGGCCAGUUCCAACUCCAGAAUCAACGUCAAGUUUGCUGACAACACAGUAGUGGUGGGCCUGAUCUUCGACACAGGUGAGAUGAUCUACCUAGAGGAGAUUAAAUACCUGAAGAUUUGGUGCCAGGAGAACAAUGUCCUCUUGAGCAUAAGCAGGACAAAAAAUUUGAUAGCGGACUUCAGCACAAAGCAGGAGAGGAACUACCAGCCACUCACAAUCAGUGGGACCCCAGUGAAGAGUGUGGACAGUUUCCGGCUCCCAGGUGCUGACAUCACGCAGGACCUCACAUCACCACUGUGGUGAAUAAGCCCAGGCAGCAUCUCUACCACCACAGACAUUUAAAGGACUUUAGGUUGAAAAAAGUGACUGACUGAAUGGAUAAAAAGUGUCUCAAGCCAUAAGGAAAAAGUUUUACUGUAAUACACGUUUAUUCCUGAGAUUGGUGGGACUUUUAUACUGUCCCCUUCAAACAGCAAGACCAAUUCUAUUAUUUAUGCUACACUCCAUUAUUUAUGAAAUCUUAGGUCUGAAAUCAAAAGACGAUAGAUCAGAAUUUCAUCAGCUUUCAUUUCCUGAUAUUUACAUCUGGAUGUGUUCAGCAACUCAGAACAUGGCACCUUUGGUGUCAGACCACCCAAUUUUUAUGUGGCCACAAGUAUUGGAACAGCCACUCUUACAGGACAUGGAUGUAGGCAGGAAGCCUGGAGCUGUCCCUCCACUGUAUGCAGGGUUGGUGUAUCUCUAAAGCAUGUGACUUUCUUACUCUUCUGCCAGUAAGAAUGUGGCCUUCAUGUAAAUCCAUGCGAGUUCAGUUCAGUUGGACAUCCCGUAUGGGCUGGUGAGGAUCUCAGUGACUCAAACACAAGUGUGUGCUCCAAAGCUGGAGUCUUGAGGGAGUAUAGUCACAGAGGAAUCUCACCCCUUUCAGAAAGUCUAUUAGCAAGUCAUUAAAUACCAUCUUUAGCACUGCCAUACACAGCAGCAGCUGCUACUCACUAUACACUCACUUCAUCUUCACAUCAAACAUCAGAAUAAAACAUUAGGAAACGUUCUUUUUUAAAUUAAUUUAUUUAUUUUUUUAUUUUCUGGCCCAUAACGGUUUAGUACAGCGGACAAGGCAAGAGUUCACAACAGCAGUCACAUUUUCAGGAGAGGAAAUGGUGGAUGUGUAACGCUUAAACAGAAUUAAAGUAAAGGAUCUGAUUAAUACAAGGUUUUUUCUAACUUAUGUUUAUUCUCUCAUCACACUCUGUUACACUCAAACAGCUUCUUCCCCAGUAUCUUCACUGUGUCUCUCAGAGUCUCCACCUCAAUUCUCAGGUCAGCGUUCUCCUUCUCCAGCUGAGCGAUGGUCUCCACAUCAUCCACAGCUUGAGCCAAGGUGACCUGAAAGAAGAAGAAUUAAGCUGAUGGAUGGUCUCCACAUCUUUCUGAUGUUUCUCCUCAGCUUCAGCCAGAGUGACCUGAAAGAAGAAGAAUUAAGAUUCGUACAAAUCCGUAUAAAUAUGCAGAAGCUGUGAAGAUCCAGAACAAAUUCCAUAAACAGCUCCAAUCAAUUCAAAAUUGAGGCUGGAAUAAGGAAAGGCGAUAAGGAAAAGUUUAUAGAAUAUAAAAAAAAGAAUACAAAUGAUGAAGACAAAAUUUCUAAAGAAUACACGCUGGGAGAAGCGGGAAGAUACAGAGACCUUAGAUGUUAAGAAACCCACCCCUGGAGUGGUCGAGGCAGACCACAUUCCACCAAAGAGAACUUUACAGAAACUGAAAAAUUAUCCAGAAAUGGAAAAGUUAUUCAAUCACUCAGAUAUGAACAAAAAUUAUGAAGAACAGAUGUUUGCCAUGAACGUUCUGCGCUGUGACCAUCAACGUGCAGCGACUACUGGCCAUAGUGGUGUAUCCAGAGCUUGCAGAGAUUUACUGACAGAGACAUUUGUUACUGGAGAUGUGGAGAAAGGACUGAAGCUGUCAUUAAUAAUGGCCCACCCGGAAACCUCAGACUACAUCCGGAAAGAAUUGAAUCAACCCUGUAAAUCUAGCAACAAGGAUUAUGGACUGACAGCAGAAAGUACUAACAGAUACUACAAACAAGGAUUUGAGAAUAUUAUAAAGGAAUACGAAAAGAAAAAAGUGAUCGACCAAAACCAAGCAGCUCGUCUGAAGGAGUGGGUGAAAAAUGAGAGAUAUUUAUGCGGAAAUGCAGAGAAAUACGUACGAAAUAUGUACGAGAAAUAAUGACUUUUUACAACACCAGGACCUCAAACUCUAACUGACGUGACUGGGGAUCAAUUCACAGGCAAGGAAACAACACAGACAAUUAGGGGUUAACUACCAGUGACAGUCUUAAACUCUGACAAAACAGGGUUACAUUCAGAAAAAAAUCACUGGAAAAUAAUAGAUUAUGGCACUGCUACUAUAUGUUGAUUAAACAACCCAAAUAUCUAGCACCUAGCUAACUAGAGAGAGAGAGAGAGAGAGAGAGAGAGUCAGAUACAGAGAGAGAGAGAGAGAGAGAGUCAGAUACAGAGAGAGAGAGAGAGAGAGAGAGAGAGUGUCAGAUACAGAGAGAGAGAGAGGGAGAGAGUGUCAGAUACAGAGAGAGAGAGAGAGAGAGAGAGAGAGAGUGUCAGAUACAGAGAGAGAGAGAGAGAGAGAGAGAGAGGGUGAGAGAGAG
Hemibagrus wyckioides is the source of this 5041-nucleotide long non-coding RNA. RefSeq lists it as uncharacterized. Lineage: Eukaryota; Metazoa; Chordata; Actinopteri; Siluriformes; Bagridae. The transcript has 10 exons. The record is from RefSeq and is a predicted model, not a curated record.